AAAUUGUAACUGUAUUUUCAUGGGUUUUACAGCUUUUCCUACUAAAGAUAAGGAUAAAGACAUCCCCGGUGACGUCCAUAUGACACCAAAGUAAUUAAAUAAAUGAUAAAUAAUGACAGAAGUGUUAUUGUUUUUUCACUAUGUACCAGCAAAGGCACAUACAGCCCACUUUGAUCUUAAGUGGGCCAGACUAGUGAAAGCCUCCUUUACCUCAUAUCUUAAUAUAGGAAAAAGAAUUACAAGUUCAAACAUGCAUCUCACUUUUUCUACACAUUUAAUCCCCGAGUUUAAACGUGUAGAAAACAAGUACUGCUGUAAUAAAUCAAGGAAAUGUGUCAGCACAGCUCCUCACACUUAAAUCAUAAGAAAUAAAUGUACAAAAUUCAAGAAAAAGUUCUGGCAGCUCUGUAUACCUAUUACUUCAUUACUUUAUUUUAGUAAGAAUGGCUAUGAGAGAUGUAUUUAUCAGCAGGAAAAGUGAUGAAAAUACAGUUAAAAGUCAAAAAUGUAUGCUCUGCUGUUGAAAUUGCACUUCUUUGUCUUAUAUUUAAAUAUCUCAGGGAUUAAAUGUGUAAUCAAAGGUCUUUACACUGACUGAAAGGGGUGUAUCAGUGGUUCGGCCCACUUAAGAUCAAAGUGAGCUGUAUGUGACCAUCAAUGUAAAACGAUUUAAGGACCUAUGGAUGUCAUGAAAACACUAAAUUAUGGAACAUCUUUUGGAAGAAUUGUGUUUCACUUCUUAGGAGCAUCAAUGCCAAUGUGCAUCAAAGCUGAAACAACUUACUAAAGGCACUUUAUCACGGUUUUUCCUUUCAUUUGCCGCGCGCCUUAUAUACAAGCAAAGGGCUGGAGGAUGUUUGCGGAUCUUAUUUAACUAUUUGAAUGCAUUGGCUGAAAUCCCUACACAGACUCCUCAUUCUAGACUGUGUAAUUAUACAUUUGCAGUGAGUGUAGGCUUUGAUAUCAUGUGUUGCGUGACUCCUUCACUGGUCAGGUGUGCUGUAUUUAUCCAAGUCAGAGCCUAAACAGAAAUGUUUGUAUCGCUGUGUAAGCAAGUUAAAGAGGCAGAAACAGGUCAAGUGCGCGUAUAGAAACACACUACCUUUAAGAAAAAUAGACAUUUUAUAGACACUUGACAUCACCUUUUGCCUUUUUCAUACUUCCAUGUGACUUGCUUCAGUAAAG
This is a long non-coding RNA of Astatotilapia calliptera (eastern happy), 1185 nucleotides long. The record is from Ensembl. Lineage: Eukaryota; Metazoa; Chordata; Actinopteri; Cichliformes; Cichlidae.